UGGAAGGGAAGUUUCUGAAAAUGAUAAUAUGAAGUUUGUGCCGUUGAUGCGCUUCCGUUGCAUGGGUUUUUAUCCCCAGGAAUUUGAGUUUGGGGAUGAUUGGGCCGCAACAUUGAAAGAUCAUGAAGAUGAAAUGAACUUCCAAGAGAAUCUCUGGCAUUUUGAGAAUGGGUCAGUUCUAUUGAAGCACAAUGGAGAUGCAGCAUCCGUGUAUAAUUUGGACAGUGUCUUUGAGUGCAUUGAGUAGAGAAUUAGUAUGAUCUAGAGAGUAUAGUUUAAGUUAUGCAUGUCAUGAUUGGUUUGCAGCUGGAAUGUCUGGGAUGUGAUGUAUUUUUUUUUUCUUUUUUUCUUUUCUUUUAUUUUAAUCUGGAUCUUUAGCUUAAUGUUUUUUAAAAUAUAAAGUCUUUAGUGGCUUUAUUAUAGUUUGUGAUGUGAUUUCUUUUUCCUGUUUAUUAGUUUAAUGUCUUUUGAACUUAAACAUGGAAUUUCUUUAGAGGCU
Long non-coding RNA from Quercus lobata, 499 nucleotides. RefSeq lists it as uncharacterized. The record is from RefSeq and is a predicted model, not a curated record. NCBI's taxonomy places the organism in Eukaryota, Viridiplantae, Streptophyta, Magnoliopsida, Fagales, Fagaceae. The transcript has 2 exons.